UCUACCCAUUCGUCGACACAUACAAAUAGAAGAGUCACAAGUCACAAGAGCCAACCUAAACAGGAGCAAGCAUUCAUUAGCCAGUAAUUCUCAUCAGCAGUUUAGUGAAUCAUCUACGUCAUCGUUUUACCGAUCUGUUGGGGGAUUAAGGAGCUCUUGGCACGGAGAUUCUAGUUUUAAAUCAAUCAACAGCCCAGCAAAAAAAACAUCGGAACUUUCCCAAAGCACAGAUAACCUGACAUUCGUUGGUUUACCGGAGCAGGCCGAGCAGAUAUUGAUGUGGUACUCACUCAACUGGAGUG
This is a long non-coding RNA of Physella acuta, 302 nucleotides long. RefSeq lists it as uncharacterized. The record is from RefSeq and is a predicted model, not a curated record. Lineage: Eukaryota; Metazoa; Mollusca; Gastropoda; Physidae.